AGGCAACAGAAUCCAGAGCCAGGGUGGGGGAGCCCCUUAUUCACCCUUACCCUGCCUUCUACUUCUCCCCAAGCCUAGCACCAGGCUCCCAAGACCUGGGGCCCACUUGAGCCUUGUUGGAUUUUCAGUCCUAAUUGGUGCCACGAGGGACAGACCUCAGGUAGAUGACCAGCCCGUGAUCAGAGUCCACUCUCGUCACCCUGCUCAUCCUCUUUGGAGAGCUCCAGGCCAAGAACCAGGGAUUGAGGGCUGUGGACCGUUCUUUUUACCCCCCACCCUGGUCAAUCUUGGCUUCCCUGCUCUUCCCCGUAUGCGCAUCCCUGUCUCUCUGUCCUAACUGCCUCCUCCUGGUGCUGACACCACGGGCUUUGGGGCAGAAACGCUCAUUUGUCCCACUCUAGACAGUGACUCAGAACUGACAUAGCUUUGGUCUCAGUGCAAACCUGAGGCUUAGGCAGAGGCUGCCUGGAGGGCUGUCUUGAGACCGAUUUUUGGGCCACAGGCCAGCUCUGCGGGAAAGAAUCACAGCUGUACUGUGAUCAUUAGUGAUGUCUGCCACAGGCAAGAAAAGAGGCAGAGAACAAGCAGAGCUGAUUCUGCCAUGUGCCAGUCACUAUGAUCCCAGACCAUUCACUCGCACUUGACAGUUGGAGAAGCCUGGGCCUAAAGAACGAUGAAGGCAAAGCGGGCCAGUCUGCGUUUUGUGAAGGAGACGCACAGGAGUCCUGGGAGCUGGGGCUUCUCGGGCUGUACAGUGUCACGUGCAGCCCGUUUUUGCUACCAGGACAGCUGGGCCCCGGGCACCUGCCAAUCAUUGCGCUCCACUCGGUAAUCUGCCCUCCCCACAAUCAGAGCAGUGCAGCUGGGUGGCUGAAUUAUAGGCUGUGGGCAGAUGGCGGAGAUGGCUCUGUGUGUGCCGUCCAAAGAGAGAGGGGAGUGAAGCCCCUGCCACUGUCCUCCUUCCCCUGACAGCAGACAUCCUCGUUUUUGGAGAACCAGUCUGCCAGCACCAGCCAUCGGGCGCCCCGCUUUUCCUCCAGAGCACACUUGUGCUGGAGCAAACUCAGUGCAGCAAACUCCUGAGCCCUCCCGCUAGCCAGGUCAUGGU
This is a long non-coding RNA of Bos taurus (domestic cattle), 1108 nucleotides long. The record is from Ensembl. Lineage: Eukaryota; Metazoa; Chordata; Mammalia; Artiodactyla; Bovidae.